GGUUACUGCUAUCGAGGUUCGACUAAGCCAUGCGAGUCGAAUGUAGCAAUACAUGGCGUACUGCUCAGUAACACGUGGACAACCUACCCUUAGGCCUGGGAUAACCCCGGGAAACUGGGAAUAAUACCGGAUAUCUCGCGAAUGCUGGAAUGCGUCGCGAUAGAAAGCUCCGGCGCCUAAGGAUGGGUCUGCGGCCUAUCAGGUAGUAGUGGGUGUAACGUACCUACUAGCCUACGACGGGUACGGGUUGUGAGAGCAAGAGCCCGGAGAUGGAUUCUGAGACACGAAUCCAGGCCCUACGGGGUGCAGCAGGCGCGAAAACUUUACAAUGCUGGAAACAGCGAUAAGGGGACCUCGAGUGCCAGGAUACAAUCCUGGCUGUCGUAAUGCCUAAAAAGCAUUGCAUACAAGGGCCGGGCAAGACCGGUGCCAGCCGCCGCGGUAACACCGGCGGCUCGAGUGGUAACCGCUAUUAUUGGGUCUGAAGGGUCUGUAGCCGGCUGACUAAGUCUCUUGGGAAAUCUGACAGCUUAACUGUCAGGCUUUCAGGAGAUACUGAUCGGCUCGAGACCGGGAGAGGUGAGAGGUACCUCAGGGGUAGGGGUGAAAUCUUGUAAUCCUUGAGGGACCACCAGUGGCGAAGGCGUCUCACCAGAACGGAUCUGACGGCAAGGGACGAAAGCUAGGGGCACGAACCGGAUUAGAUACCCGGGUAGUCCUAGCCGUAAACGAUACUCGCUAGGUGUCGGCCACGGUGCGACCGUGGUCGGUGCCGUAGGGAAGCCGUGAAGCGAGCCACCUGGGAAGUACGGCCGCAAGGCUGAAACUUAA
This 831-nucleotide ribosomal RNA is filed under the name uncultured archaeon. RNAcentral's name for it is "bacterial SSU rRNA". It matches the Rfam family "Archaeal small subunit ribosomal RNA", at positions 21 to 859 of the family's 1478-position model. The record is from RNAcentral.